This 1452-nucleotide ribosomal RNA is filed under the name Streptomyces scabiei. RNAcentral describes it as "bacterial SSU rRNA". It matches the Rfam family "Bacterial small subunit ribosomal RNA". Lineage: Bacteria; Bacillati; Actinomycetota; Actinomycetes; Kitasatosporales; Streptomycetaceae. The record is from RNAcentral.
GGCGGCGUGCUUACACAUGCAAGUCGAACGAUGAACCACUUCGGUGGGGAUUAGUGGCGAACGGGUGAGUAACACGUGGGCAAUCUGCCCUUCACUCUGGGACAAGCCCUGGAAACGGGGUCUAAUACCGGAUACGACACUCUCGGGCAUCCGAUGAGUGUGGAAAGCUCCGGCGGUGAAGGAUGAGCCCGCGGCCUAUCAGCUUGUUGGUGAGGUAACGGCUCACCAAGGCGACGACGGGUAGCCGGCCUGAGAGGGCGACCGGCCACACUGGGACUGAGACACGGCCCAGACUCCUACGGGAGGCAGCAGUGGGGAAUAUUGCACAAUGGGCGAAAGCCUGAUGCAGCGACGCCGCGUGAGGGAUGACGGCCUUCGGGUUGUAAACCUCUUUCAGCAGGGAAGAAGCGAAAGUGACGGUACCUGCAGAAGAAGCGCCGGCUAACUACGUGCCAGCAGCCGCGGUAAUACGUAGGGCGCGAGCGUUGUCCGGGAAUUAUUGGGCGUAAAGAGCUCGUAGGCGGUCUGUCGCGUCGGAUGUGAAAGCCCGGGGCUUAACCCCGGGUCUGCAUUCGAUACGGGCAGACUAGAGUGUGGUAGGGGAGAUCGGAAUUCCUGGUGUAGCGGUGAAAUGCGCAGAUAUCAGGAGGAACACCGGUGGCGAAGGCGGAUCUCUGGGCCAUUACUGACGCUGAGGAGCGAAAGCGUGGGGAGCGAACAGGAUUAGAUACCCUGGUAGUCCACGCCGUAAACGGUGGGAACUAGGUGUUGGCGACAUUCCACGUCGUCGGUGCCGCAGCUAACGCAUUAAGUUCCCCGCCUGGGGAGUACGGCCGCAAGGCUAAAACUCAAUGGAAUUGACGGGGGCCCGCACAAGCAGCGGAGCAUGUGGCCUUAGUUCGACGCAACGCGAAGAACCUUACCAAGGCUUGACAUACACCGGAAACGGCCAGAGAUGGUCGCCCCCUUGUGGUCGGUGUACAGGUGGUGCAUGGCUGUCGUCAGCUCGUGUCGUGAGAUGUUGGGUUAAGUCCCGCAACGAGCGCAACCCUUGUUCUGUGUUGCCAGCAUGCCCUUCGGGGUGAUGGGGACUCACAGGAGACUGCCGGGGUCAACUCGGAGGAAGGUGGGGACGACGUCAAGUCAUCAUGCCCCUUAUGUCUUGGGCUGCACACGUGCUACAAUGGCAGGUACAAUGAGCUGCGAAGCCGUGAGGCGGAGCGAAUCUCAAAAAGCCUGUCUCAGUUCGGAUUGGGGUCUGCAACUCGACCCCAUGAAGUCGGAGUUGCUAGUAAUCGCAGAUCAGCAUUGCUGCGGUGAAUACGUUCCCGGGCCUUGUACACACCGCCCGUCACGUCACGAAAGUCGGUAACACCCGAAGCCGGUGGCCCAACCCGUAAGGGAGGGAGCUGUCGAAGGUGGGACUGGCGAUUGGGACGAAGUCGUAACAAG